AGAUGUGUUUUCUCCAUUAGUUUGCAAAAGCUUCCUGAGAGUAGGUCUGUGCCUCAUUUAUUCUGGAAUCUCCCUGGCACAAAGCACAGGGCUUUAUCUUCAGUAGGCAUCCAACAAAUGUUUCAUUUCAUUCAACAGCUCCUCUUACCACUGCCUCCACCUUAUUUGCAGGUGGCUAAGUACAAUCGGAACAAGUAGGUAUCAUAAGAUUUAGUCCAGAGUCAAUUUGAGAAGAAAUUACUUUAGUGAUAUGAAAAUAAACCAUGCUAUUGAGUCAGAAUACUUCUGAGAAUAUCCCCUGUCCAAGCAUUUGCUGAAUUUCUAUGUACUAAUUUUCAGGUGGAACAGUAUGCUUGCAGAGGGUCCAUUUGGACAUAGAUACACUUUCAUACAUUCAUGUCUUUAACAAGAAUUUGUGUCCCUACUGUGUUUGUUCACUAACUCCUUUGAACCUACCACAUAAGCUAUAUCUGUAUUUUCCUUGUAAUUUGGGAGGUCCAGUGCUUCAUUACGCUCAUAUGCCUGAAACUAAUGAAGAAAAUAGCUCGUUAACCAGCUAGUAUAAAAGUAGCCACCAAAUCAAGUCAAUCACCUGCCUUAAAUUAGCCCAGUACUCCCAUCUUGAGCGGAGAAGCCCAUUCUGAAUCACAGUCAAGACAUUGAUGGAAAAACAACUCCCUCUGGGGAUCAAAACCACGCUCACUCCAAAUCCUCCUCCCCAGAGUUCUACUCAUUGCUCACCCACUGAACCCAGAACUAACCAGAAGUGCUUGAAAUGAGGACGGGUAGCUCCAUGUACCAAUCGGAAUUUAAAACUCUAUCAAUUCCUGCUAUAGAAAUGAGGCUUCUCCCCAGGACCAGCAUUCCACGAAGGCAGCCCUUUUCUAGAUGGAGAAAACAGAACCUGAAGACACCCGUUUCCCUAAACUGCUCUCGCUCAUGUUUCUACAAGGCCUGGAGCUGAUAGGAAAAACCUCCCUUCUUUCCCAAAUGGUCCCCAGCUGCCCCGUUCACUGAAGGCCCUGCAGUCAGGAACGGUCAGGACUUCACACCCAGUUGUUGUGGGUGUUUGGCCGACACGACACUUCCUCUUGUGUGAUUCAUGGACCCGCAGCAUUGCGUCACCUGGGAGCUUUUGGUAUUGAAGACUCUCAGGGCUCACCCGGAAGGACCUGCUGGGCCAGAAUCUACAUUUUAACAAGAUGCCCAGAAACUCCUGGAGGGCAGAGGCAUGCCUGCCAUCUUCAUCAUUGCAUUACCACCACCCAACACUAUCGGGGGACCUGCCCUGAUAAUCAGUCUACAGGUGUAUCCAGCAGCUCCAGAGAGACAGCGACCAGCGAGAAGGGGCCAUGAUGAUGGUGGUGGUUUUGUCAAAACGAAAAGGGGGAUAUGUAGGGAAAAGAAAGAGAGAUCAGACUGUUACUGUGUCUACAUAGAAAGGGAAGCCAUAAGAGACUCCAUUUUGAAAAAGACCUGUACUUUAAACAAUUGCUUGCUGAGAUGUUGUUUAUCUGUAGCUUUGCCCCAGCCACUUUGCCCCAACCACUUUGACCCAAUCUGGAGCUCACAAAAACAUGUUUGUAUGAAAUCAAGGUUUAAGGCAUGUAGGGCUGUGCAGGACGUGCCUUGUUAACCAAAUAUUUGGAAGCAGUAUACUUGGUAAAAGUCAUCACCAUUCUCUCGUCUCAAUAAACCAGGGGCACAAUGCACUGUGGAAAGCCGCAGGGACCUCUGCCCUUGAAAGCUGGGUAUUGUCCAUGGUUUCUUCCCAUGUGAUAGUCUGAAAUAUGGCCUCAUGGGAUGAGAAAGACCUGACGGUCCCCCAGCUCGACACCCAUAAAGUGUCUGUGCUGAGGUGGAUUAGUCAAAGAGGAAAGCCUCUUGCAGUUGAGAUAGAGGAAGGCCGCUGUCUCAUGCUUGCCCCCUGGGAACUGAAUGUCUCGGUAUAAAACACUAUUGUACAUUUGUUCAAUUCUGACAUGGGAGAAAAACCACCCUAUGGUGGGAGGCGAGACAUGUUUACAGCAAUGCUGCCUUGUUAUUCUUUACUCCACUGAGAUGUCUGGGUGCAGAGAAACAUAAAUCUGGCUUACAUGCACGUCCAGUCAUAGUACCUUCCCUUGAACUUCAUUAUGUCAUAGAUUCUAUUGCUCACAUGUUUGUUGCUGACCUUCUCCUUAUUAUCACCUUGCCCUCCUACUACAUUCAUUUUUGCUGAAAUAAUGAAGAUAAUAAUCAAUAAAAACUGAGGGAACUCAGAGAACGGUGCCAGUGCAGGUCCUUGGUAUGCUAAGCGCCGGUCCCCUGGGCCCACUGUUGUUUCUCUAUACUUUGUCUCUGUGUCUGAUUUCUUUUCUGUCUCUCAUCCCACCCGACAAGAAAUACCCACAGGUGUGGAGGGGCA
This 2407-nucleotide long non-coding RNA is filed under the name Homo sapiens (human). RNAcentral describes it as "HSALNT0344905". Lineage: Eukaryota; Metazoa; Chordata; Mammalia; Primates; Hominidae. The record is from RNAcentral.